AAAGAAGAAGAACCUAUUCGCUAACGCCGCAUUUUCGAAAUGGCAUAUCUCGAGUUCAAGUUUGAGGACGAAAUAACUAAAUACAUUCGGGAACAAGAAUUGGCAACGUCACUGAAAUUCGUAAUAUUGGGAAAGGACAAAAGUUUUGGACAAAAGGAUGCACAGCCUUUGGCACGGAAAAAACUCAGCUGGGAGAGUAAAAGUAUCCCGUUCAAUGGUGUUCCGUUUCAAGUUGUUGGCACAAAGACGUAUGAAUGCCACCAGGGCAAAGACAGACAGACAAAAGCCAAAGAGAAAUAUGCUGCUGAAAGAGACAAGAAGGAACUUGAAGACCAUGCUUUUGUAAAGAGACGGAAACUGGUACAACAUACCAAAAAGGUGGACUGCAAGGCUAUAAUAAACAUCGCCCACGUUAUCCGCUUUCCUGAUUUUAAGGUAAACAUGAAACAAGAUUGAGGAAAGUACAGUGCGCUCUAAAAAGGAGGCCUCCCAAACUCUGAAGGCAGCACUAAGUGAAACACCCAGCUCCGUGAAGGCAGAGGUUGUCUACUGCGUUAGGUUCCCCUCCCUCUCUGAGCACAGCUCACAUGCAGUUGUUGGCGAGGCAGCUCAUGUUAGGGAAGCUGUAGAUGCCAGGCUGAGAGAGAAGAUUGAGCAGCUGACUCUGUCUGGUGUGAGAAAGAUGACUGAAAUGAAGUGUCAUCUGAACACCUUUGUAGUGGAAGAGCUUUUCCUUGGAGAGCAGCCCCCUCCACCUACUCGCAGGCGCUAUUACCCCACUGACAGUGACAUAAGAAAUGUCAUGUUUAAGACCAAGCGGGCCACCGGAGACUCCAACAUUGACCGUCCAUACGAAGGUCCAUCUGGCAGAGGAAAGAAGAGGUCCUCUAGGAAGCUGUUGCGGUUACGGAGGCAAUGUGCAGGAUAUCUUAAAGAGAUCACAGAACUCACUUAUCAUCUGGAAGAGGAACAGUACGUGACUGACCUGUCUUCACAGCUCAGAAGCGUGUUGCUGGAUAUGAAGGCCCAUGUUCCACAGGAUAAAGACCUUCCACUGACCUUUUCUCCAAGGAAGAGAAAAGCUGAGAUGGACAUGGAUCUCAUUCCAACCAAGAGUGCAUCACACCCUUUCAUAGAUGGGUUAGAACAGCACACAGAGGACAUAGUGAGUGUGGAUACCUUGUUGGCAUUGAGCCUAGGGUAGUAGGGCGGUGUGGAUACCUUGUUGGCAUUGAGCCUAGGGUAGUAGGGCUGAGUGGAUACCUUGUUGGCAUUGAACCUAGGGUAGUAGGGCUGCGUGGAUACCUUGUUGGCAUUGAGCCUAGGGUAGUAGGGCUGCGUGGAUACCUUGUUGGUAUUGAGCCUAGGUUAGUCGGGCUGAGUGGAUACCUUGUUGGCAUUGAGCCUAGGGUAGUAGGGCUGCGUGGAUAUCUUGUUGGCAUUGAGCCUAGAUUAGUAGGGCUGCGUGCAUACCUUGUUGGCAUUGAGCCUAGGGUAGUAGGGCUGAGUGGAUACCUUGUUGGCAUUGAGCCUAGGGUAGUAGGGCUGAGUGGAUACCUUGUUUGCAUUGAGCCUAGGGUAGUAGGGCUGCGUGGAUACCUUGUUAGUAUUGAGCCUAGGGUAGUAGGGCUGCGUGGAUACCUUGUUGGUAUUUAGCCUAGGGUAGUAGGGCUGAGUGGAUACCUUGUUGGCAUUGAGCCUAGGGUAGUAGGGCUGCGUGGAUACCUUGUUGGCAUUGAGCCUAGGGUAGUAGGGCUGCGUGGAUACGUUGUUGGUAUUUACACUAAGUUGACUGUGCCUUUAAACAGCUUGGAAAAUUCCAGAAAAUUAUGUUAUGGUUUUAGAAGCUUCUGACUAAUUGACAUCAUUUGAGCCAAUUGGAGGUGUACCUGUGGAUUUAUUUCAAGGCCCACCUUCAAACUCAUUGCCUCUUUGCUUGACAUCAUUGGAAAAUCAAAAGAAAUCAGCCAAGAUCUCAGAUCCCACAUGUCUGGUUCAUCCUUGGGAGCAAUUUCCAAAUGCCUGAAGGUACCAAGUUCAUCUGUACAAACAAUAGUACGCAAGUAUAAACACCAUGGGACCACGCAGCCAUCAUACCAUUCAGGAAGGAGACUGUCUCCUAGAUAUGAACGUACUUUGGUGCGAAAAAUGGAAAUCAAUCCCAGAACAACAGCAAACAAACAACCUUGUGAAAAUGCUGGAGGAAACAGGUACAAAAGUAUCUAUGUCCACAGUAAAACAAGUUCAUAUCGAUAUAACCUGAAAGGUCUCCUAGAUGUGAAAUGGCCAGCUAGAUUAAAGUUAUACUGUUACAUUAACAACUUCAUAGAAACAUGUUGUUUUCUCAUCUGUGAUGGAAAACAAAUGCAUGACUAUAGUAAGUCAUUGAGGAGGCAUAUAAACACACUGUUCCACUCAUCUGCAGCUACUCUGUACUUGUAUUGUAUUAUGGUCUGUCCUGAUGCCUCGUCACUUUACCCUGCACAUUUCUCCUUGACCUGGUACUUCCUGUAUAUAGUUGCACAUUUAUCUCCUUGACCUGGUACUUCCUGUAUAUAGUUGCACAUUCUCCUUGACCUGGUACUUCCUGUAUAUAGUUGCACAUUGAUCUGGUAAUCCCUGUAUAUAGCUGCACAUUGAUCUGGUACUUCCUGUAUAUAGUCGCACAUUGACCUGGUACUGGUAAUCCCUGUAAAUAGCUGCACAUUGAUCUGGUAAUCCCUGUAUAUAGUUGCACAUUGAUCUGGUAAUCCCUGUAUAUAGUUGCACAUUGAUCUGGUACUGGUAAUCCCUGUAUAUAGCUGCACAUUGAUCUGGUAAUCCCUGUAUAUAGUUGCACAUUGAUCUGGUAAUCCCUGUAUAUAGCUGCACAUUGAUCUGGUAAUCCCUGUAUAUAGUUGCACAUUGAUCUGGUAAUCCCUGUAUAUAGUUGCACAUUGAUCUGGUAAUCCCUGUAUAUAGUUGCACAUUGAUCUGGUAAUCCCUGUAUAUAGUUGCACAUUGAUCUGGUAAUCCCUGUAUAUAGUUGCACAUUGAUCUGGUACUGGUAAUCCCUGUAUAUAGUUGCACAUUGAUCUGGUAAUCCCUGUAUAUAGUUGCACAUUGAUCUGGUAAUCCCUGUAUAUAGUUGCACAUUGAUCUGGUAAUCCCUGUAUAUAGUUGCACAUUGAUCUGGUACUGGUAAUCCCUGUAUAUAGUUGCACAUUGAUCUGGUAAUCCCUGUAUAUAGCUGCACAUUGAUCUGGUAAUCCCUGUAUAUAGCUGCACAUUGAUCUGGUAAUCCCUGUAUAUAGCUGCACAUUGAUCUGGUAAUCCCUGUAUAUAGCUGCACAUUGAUCUGGUAAUCCCUGUAUAUAGCUGCACAUUGAUCUGGUAAUCCCUGUAUAUAGUUGCACAUUGAUCUGCUACUGGUAAUCCCUGUAUAUAGCUGCACAUUGAUCUGGUAAUCCCUGUAUAUAGCUGCACAUUGAUCUGGUAAUCCCUGUAUAUAGUUGCACAUUGAUCUGGUACUGGUAAUCCCUGUAUAUAGUUGCACAUUGAUCUGGUAAUCCCUGUAUAUAGCUGCACAUUGAUCUGGUACUCCCUGUAUAUAGCUGCACAUUGAUCUGGUAAUCCCUGUAUAUAGUUGCACAUUGAUCUGGUAAUCCCUGUAUAUAGCUGCACAUUGAUCUGGUAAUCCCUGUAUAUAGCUGCACAUUGAUCUGGUAAUCCCUGUAUAUAGUUGCACAUUGAUCUGGUAAUUCCUGUAUAUUGUGUUAUUAUUGUGUAUUCUAUUCCUCUUGUUACAAUCCCCAUGUUUUUUUAAAUAUUUUUAAACUUUGAAUCGUUGUGAAGGCCUGUAAGCAAGAAUUACCCGUUAUAUUCGGCGCAUGUGACAAAUAAAAUUUGUUUUGAAGUGCCCAAAUAAAGUAACAGGGUUGCCCCUUAAAAUUGUUGACGUUUAAUCUUCAAUCAGACCAUUUCUAAAUAUGCAUUAAUGACCGUUUCUUUGAAGCUGUGUACGUGUUACUUGUGGAUUUUUUUUGAAAACAAAAAUUGAAAAUCAAGAUGUAUCAAUUUGUUUGUUUUUAUAAUGGCAUGUAGAUAUUGGAGUAAACCUAUUUUGGGUUAAAACAACUAACUAUGAGUAAAUGCCAACAUGAUUAGUUUGCAAUCUGAUUGAGUGGUUGAUCUGGUUGAGUGCAUUGUUUUACAACUAAAUAUUCCCUUUCCUUCAAUAAGCAACCUGGUCUCGGAGCGUUUGGUAUUAUUC
Molecule: RNA transcript, 4252 nt
Organism: Oncorhynchus masou masou (cherry salmon)
Lineage: Eukaryota; Metazoa; Chordata; Actinopteri; Salmoniformes; Salmonidae
Exons: 5
Source: RefSeq, a predicted model, not a curated record